AUUGAACGCUGGCGGCAUGCCUUACACAUGCAAGUCGAACGGCAGCACGGGAGCAAUCCUGGUGGCGAGUGGCGAACGGGUGAGUAAUGUAUCGGAACGUGCCCAGUCGUGGGGGAUAACGUAGCGAAAGCUACGCUAAUACCGCAUACGAUCUAUGGAUGAAAGCGGGGGAUCGCAAGACCUCGCGCGACUGGAGUGGCCGAUAUCAGAUUAGGUAGUUGGUGGGGUAAAGGCUCACCAAGCCGACGAUCUGUAGCUGGUCUGAGAGGACGACCAGCCACACUGGGACUGAGACACGGCCCAGACUCCUACGGGAGGCAGCAGUGGGGAAUUUUGGACAAUGGGCGCAAGCCUGAUCCAGCAAUGCCGCGUGCAGGAUGAAGGCCAUCGGGUUGUAAACUGCUUUUGUACGGAACGAAACGGCGAGCUCUAAUACAGUUUGCUAAUGACGGUACCGUAAGAAUAAGCACCGGCUAACUACGUGCCAGCCGCCGCAGUAA
Molecule: ribosomal RNA, 500 nt
Filed under: uncultured bacterium
Lineage: Bacteria
Description: partial 16S ribosomal RNA
Rfam family: Bacterial small subunit ribosomal RNA
Source: RNAcentral